RNAcentral lists this non-coding RNA (30 nucleotides) under Mus musculus (house mouse). Lineage: Eukaryota; Metazoa; Chordata; Mammalia; Rodentia; Muridae. The record is from RNAcentral.
UGCUGAAAUACUAUAAGGUGGAUGAAAAUG